RNAcentral lists this non-coding RNA (124 nucleotides) under Castor canadensis (American beaver). The record is from RNAcentral. Lineage: Eukaryota; Metazoa; Chordata; Mammalia; Rodentia; Castoridae.
GUUUUGUAUGAAAGGAGAGAAGGUUAGCACUCCCCUUGAUAAGGAUGGAAGAGGCUUGUGCCUGACAACACGCAUAUGUUUAAGGCAUUGCCACCUACUUGGUGACAUCUAACCACUGUUUUGU